This 1522-nucleotide ribosomal RNA is filed under the name metagenome. RNAcentral describes it as "bacterial SSU rRNA". It matches the Rfam family "Bacterial small subunit ribosomal RNA". The record is from RNAcentral.
AGAGUUUGAUAAUGGCUCAGAUUGAACGCUGGCGGCAGGCCUAACACAUGCAUGUCGAACGGUAACAGGAAGAAGCUUGCUUCUUUGCUGACGAGUGGCGGACGGGUGAGUAAUGUCUGGGAAACUGCCUGAUGGAGGGGGAUAACUACUGGAAACGGUAGCUAAUACCGCAUAACGUCGCAAGACCAAAGAGGGGGACCUUCGGGCCUCUUGCCAUCGGAUGUGCCCAGAUGGGAUUAGCUAGUAGGUGGGGUAACGGCUCACCUAGGCGACGAUCCCUAGCUGGUCUGAGAGGAUGACCAGCCACACUGGAACUGUGACACGGUCCAGACUCCUACGGGAGGCAGCAGUGGGGAAUAUUGCACAAUGGGCGCAAGCCUGAUGCAGCCAUGCCGCGUGUAUGAAGAAGGCCUUCGGGUUGUAAAGUACUUUCAGCGGGGAGGAAGGGAGUAAAGUUAAUACCUUUGCUCAUUGACGUUACCCGCAGAAGAAGCACCGGCUAACUCCGUGCCAGCAGCCGCGGUAAUACGGAGGGUGCAAGCGUUAAUCGGAAUUACUGGGCGUAAAGCGCACGCAGGCGGUUUGUUAAGUCAGAUGUGAAAUCCCCGGGCUCAACCUGGGAACUGCAUCUGAUACUGGCAAGCUUGAGUCUCGUAGAGGGGGGUAGAAUUCCAGGUGUAGCGGUGAGAUGCGUAGAGAUCUGGAGGAAUACCGGUGGCGAAGGCGGCCCCCUGGACGAAGACUGACGCUCAGGUGCGAAAGCGUGGGGAGCAAACAGGAUUAGAUACCCUGGUAGUCCACGCCGUAAACGAUGUCGACUUGGAGGUUGUGCCCUUGAGGCGUGGCUUCCGGAGCUAACGCGUUAAGUCGACCGCCUGGGGAGUACGGCCGCAAGGUUAAAACUCAAAUGAAUUGACGGGGGCCCGCACAAGCGGUGGAGCAUGUGGUUUAAUUCGAUGCAACGCGAAGAACCUUACCUGGUCUUGACAUCCACGGAAGUUUUCAGAGAUGAGAAUGUGCCUUCGGGAACCGUGAGACAGGUGCUGCAUGGCUGUCGUCAGCUCGUGUUGUGAAAUGUUGGGUUAAGUCCCGCAACGAGCGCAACCCUUAUCCUUUGUUGCCAGCGGUCCGGCCGGGAACUCAAAGGAGACUGCCAGUGAUAAACUGGAGGAAGGUGGGGAUGACGUCAAGUCAUCAUGGCCCUUACGACCAGGGCUACACACGUGCUACAAUGGCGCAUACAAAGAGAAGCGACCUCGCGAGAGCAAGCGGACCUCAUAAAGUGCGUCGUAGUCCGGAUUGGAGUCUGCAACUCGACUCCAUGAAGUCGGAAUCGCUAGUAAUCGUGGAUCAGAAUGCCACGGUGAAUACGUUCCCGGGCCUUGUACACACCGCCCGUCACACCAUGGGAGUGGGUUGCAAAAGAAGUAGGUAGCUUAACCUUCGGGAGGGCGCUUACCACUUUGUGAUUCAUGACUGGGGUGAAGUCGUAACAAGGUAACCGUAGGGGAACCUGCGGUUG